AACCGCGGUUAGACGAGAGGCCCCAGUUGACUACACUACGGCGUAAAGGGUGGUUAAGGAUAAACAAUAAAUAAAGCUAAAUAGCCCUUUGGCCGUUAUACGCUCUUGGACGCUAGAAACCCGAACACGAAAGUAGCUUUAACCAACCCCUGACCCCACGAAAGCUAAGAGA
RNAcentral lists this ribosomal RNA (172 nucleotides) under Danio feegradei (Yoma danio). Its description in RNAcentral is "partial 12S rRNA". The record is from RNAcentral. Lineage: Eukaryota; Metazoa; Chordata; Actinopteri; Cypriniformes; Danionidae.